AGUGAACGCUGGCGGUAGGCCUAACACAUGCAAGUCGAACGGCAGCACAGUAAGAGCUUGCUCUUACGGGUGGCGAGUGGCGGACGGGUGAGGAAUACAUCGGAAUCUACUUUUUCGUGGGGGAUAACGUAGGGAAACUUACGCUAAUACCGCAUACGACCUACGGGUGAAAGCAGGGGAUCUUCGGACCUUGCGCGAUUGAAUGAGCCGAUGUCGGAUUAGCUAGUUGGCGGGGUAAAGGCCCACCAAGGCGACGAUCCGUAGCUGGUCUGAGAGGAUGAGCAGCCACACGGGAACUGAGAGAAGGUAAAGAAGCCGACGGGAGGCAGAAGUGGGGAAGAGUGGACAAGGGGGGAAAGAAUGAUAAAGAAAGAAAGCGGGGGUGAAGAAGGAAGUAGGGUUGGAAAGAUAGUUUGCUGGGAAAGAAAAGAAGAAGGAUAAGAAAGCGCGGUUAUGACGGGAACCAAAGAAGAAGGAAAGGCGAAGGUAGGG
RNAcentral lists this ribosomal RNA (492 nucleotides) under uncultured bacterium. Its description in RNAcentral is "partial 16S ribosomal RNA". The stretch from base 20 to 336 matches the Rfam family "Bacterial small subunit ribosomal RNA", at positions 47 to 358 of the family's 1533-position model. The record is from RNAcentral.